RNAcentral lists this ribosomal RNA (253 nucleotides) under uncultured bacterium. Its description in RNAcentral is "partial 16S ribosomal RNA". It matches the Rfam family "Bacterial small subunit ribosomal RNA", at positions 524 to 776 of the family's 1533-position model. The record is from RNAcentral.
UACGAAGGGGGCGAGCGUUAUUCGGAAUCACUGGGCGUAAAGCGUGCGUAGGCUGUCUAGCAAGUUGGGAGUGAAAGCCCAGGGCUCAACCCUGGAAUUGCUCUCAAAACUGCAAGACUCGAAUUCGGGAGAGGAUAGCGGAAUUUCCAGUGUAGUAGUGAAAUACGUAGAUAUUGGAAGGAACACCAGUGGCGCAAGCGGCUAUCUGGACCGACAUUGACGCUGAGGCACGAAAGCGUGGGGAUCAAACAGG